GGCUCCUCCCCUUUCUCCUGCCAUGUUUCUUCUCCCCGCCCCCUCGCCUCUGGCUCCUCCCCCUUUUCCCUAUCGCGUUCCUCCUUUGCAGCCCCCAUCCCCCUCCUCUGGCUCCUCUUCUUCCCUACCGCGAUCCUCCUUCCAGACCCCGGCCCCCAGCCCGCCUCUAGCUCCUUCCCUUAUUUCCUGCCGCGCUCCUCCUUCCCGACACCGCCCCUCCGCCUCUGGCUACUCCUCUUCUCUCCUGCCGCACUCCUCCUUCCCGGCCCCACCUCCCCGCCUCUGGCUCAUCCCCUUCUCUUCUGCCGCCCUCCUCCUUCCCGGCCCCGCCCCCAGUCUUUGGCUCCUCCCCCUACCCUGCCGCGCUCCUCCUUCCCGGCCCCUCCCCGCUGCCCUCUUCUGGCUCCUCCCCCCCACCCGCCUCUGGCUCCUCUCCUUCCCACCCCUGCCGUGCUCCGGCAGGAAGAGGUGGUGCCAGGGCCGUUGCUAGGAUACGACCAACAGCUGAGAACGCGGCGAGUAUGGAAGCUGCGUCUUAGGAGCCUGGGAAAGCACUUCGACGAGAAUAGUUUGGUUUCGUACACAGGAAAAUGUCUAAUCAACAGGAGAAGUAUGAAGCUCAGAAUAUAGUCAAUUCAACAGAAGAGAGUGAUGAUGCUUUUGAUACUGUCACUAUUCCAGUUCCCUCAGAAGAGCCUCAAGAGUCAGAUCAAACUGAAGAGCAUGAAUCUGGAAUAGAACAAUUCAGUGAGAGCCAUGCAAUACAUGUUGAGGAGCAGAGUGACCAAAGCUUUUCAAGCCUGGAACCAGACAAUGAACAACUCAUGGAAGAGGUUAUAUCACCAAGACAAGUUUCAUAUACUCCGCAACAUCAUGAAAAGCAAUAUGCAAUGCAGAGGCCAAAUGAUGAUAGUUUGGCAUUUCUGGAUAAAAUAAAGUCUGUAAAGGAAUCUUUGCAAGAAUCAGUGGAAGAUUCUCUAGCAACAGUAAAAGUUGUACUUAUUCCAGUGGGCCAGGAAAUUGUAAUACCUUUUAAGGUUGAUACCAUUCUUAAAUAUCUUAAGGACCAUUUUUCACACUUAUUAGGUAUCCCACAUUCUGUACUGCAGAUAAGAUACUCAGGAAAAAUUCUUAAAAAUAAUGAGACUCUAGUACAACAUGGAGUUAAGCCACAGGAAAUUGUACAAGUGGAAAUCUUUUCUACAAAUCCAGAUCUGUAUCCAGUCAGAAGAAUAGAUGGAUUAACUGAUGUCUCUCAAAUCAUAACUGUCACUGUCCAAACUGGUUCGUUAUUUGAUGUCUUUUAGAUAAAGUAUUUUUGAGUCCCUUCUUGGUUGAGCUUUCAUUGAAUCUUGGUGUUAUCUCUCAGGACUUGAUCAAUACCAGCAGGUACCUGUUGAGAUUGUCAAAUCUGACUUUCACAAACCAUUUCUUGGUGGAUUCAGACAUAAAGUAACAGGAGUAGAGUAUCACAAUGCUGGAACACAAACUGUACCUAAAAGGAUUCCCGAAAGACUCAGUAUAUUUUGUAGGGAUACGCAGGUAAUGUUUUUAUUUGUCUCUUUAGGUUUUUGAAGGUAUAGACUCAAUAAUUGUACUGUAUGACUCUCUCAAAUUUCUCUUAAGUAAUUAUAUGGCAAUUAAUAAAAGAAAAUGAACUCACAUAUGUAGAAAAACUCCCUUAUGUAUAUAUAUAGGGGAUACUGAUUUAAAUUUUUAAUGUUUUCUUUUAGACAGUUUUUCAGAAAAAAAAUCUCCAACAAACUACAAAUACAACAUCCACACAGAUGACUAACAUUGGUGUAUAUGUAUCAAAUAUGACUGAUAAACUGGUAACACCAGGAAAGUAUUUUUCAGCAGCAGAAUACCAUGCUCAAAGACUAAAGGCGGUGAGAUAACUUUUAUUGUGGAUGAAUACUAAAAAUUUGAUAUAUAAGCCAGUUGUUCCGAGUGUGUCUCUUUCUCCAAGCCACAUUUGCUUGAGAAAGAAUGCUCAUGAGUAUGGGUCAUAUUUCACUGCUAACAAAGCAGUCUUUAUCUCCAGUAUUCCCCCAUGUAAAGAACCAGCAUCCUAAAUGCUCCUAAUCCUUCCUUUUCUCUUAGGGAAACCCAGCUUCUUUGUGUAUUGCCUUUGGCCAUUAUUAGCCUUCUCAACACUGCUGUCCCUUGGCCUUAAAUCUUGUCACAGUAGAAUCACCAAGGGAACUUUCGAGACUAAUUGAAACCAAAUAGGACAGUAGUCGAUUUUCUCUGAUAUUAACAUAGCCGCUCCAACUCUGUUUUAUUUUUUUGCAUAGUCUCUCAUUUUUCAUUCUUUUACUUUCAACCUAUUUGAUCUACCUCCUACCAUCAAUUUACUGUGAGUAAAAAUGACCUGAAAGCAGUGACUUUAAGAGAUUUUGCUUUUCAAAUGACAAGAAAUCUGGAGCUAGGCUAUUCAGCCCAAGACCUUUAGAGACAAACUUGUAGUGAAAAAAAGUUAAGUCUGUUGACUUAAUUGCCCUGAAGGAGACAGUAUACCAGGGGAACCAUGGGGUUAACUUUAUAGCAGGCUUUAUCAGUGCCAGUUAUUCCAGCCUGAUAAUUUUUUACUUUUUCAGUCCAAACUAAAUUUCACCAAAUAAAGGAAUAUAUGGAGUUAUUAUAUAAUUUGGGGAAGAGUGAAGUUUGAGUGGGAUUUAGGGGAAGCAGUAUUCUGAUUGUCUCAAUGCAAAACAAGGGUGUGUAUAAAUGGGCCAACAUUAGGUCUGGACUGUGAAGUAGACCAAGGUCACGUUCCUUUGGAAACAAAGUUAAAAGAGAUGGGAAAUGUUUCUUAGAAGUUCUCUGAAGUUCAGCACCUUGGUUGUAUAAUUGAGGCUGCUUCUCUCUGUCAAAGUGACGUGCAACCUCUAGGCAAGAGUGGAAUGUUUGUUUCUUACUGAUCUAAUUUCAGACAGGAAAGUUUCUGAUAGUUUCUGAAUUUAGAGAACGAAGUUUCUCAGUGAGUAAGAAGAUAGCAGUCACUAAAAGAAGGGGAUUGUUGAAAUAUUUUAUAGUUGUAGAGUGUCCUUGGGAGAAAUACUGUUUUUGUUAAUUUUGUAGCUGACCUGAUUAGUGCCUGUUAUUCCAGCCUGACAAUUUUUUACUUUCUCAGUCUUAAUUAAUUUUUACUUUCUUACUAUACUGGGCAUGGGUGGUGACUCUAUGAUGUCAUCAGAAUCAUAAACUCCUUUCAUCUUUCUACUCCAUUAAGCUCAUCAUGAGCUUGUUACUGUAUGAAGAUAAAAUGGUUGACUAACUUUCAUCAUGCCUGCAUUCCAUGUGAGAAGAAGGGAAAAGUCAAGGCAGCAUGUUCCAUGAAUGCCACCUUCAAGGAUUUCCCCGGAAAGCCCCACCCAGUGACUUCUACUUGCAUCCCAUUGGCUUGAACUAUGUCAUGUGACUAU
This 3428-nucleotide long non-coding RNA is filed under the name Homo sapiens (human). RNAcentral describes it as "non-protein coding lnc-IQUB-1:1". The record is from RNAcentral. Lineage: Eukaryota; Metazoa; Chordata; Mammalia; Primates; Hominidae.